AUUGAACGCUGGCGGCAUGCCUUACACAUGCAAGUCGAACGGUAACAGGUCUUCGGAUGCUGACGAGUGGCGAACGGGUGAGUAAUACAUCGGAACGUGCCUAGUAGUGGGGGAUAACUACUCGAAAGAGUAGCUAAUACCGCAUGAGAUCUACGGAUGAAAGCAGGGGAUCGCAAGACCUUGUGCUACUAGAGCGGCUG
This 200-nucleotide ribosomal RNA is filed under the name uncultured bacterium. RNAcentral's name for it is "partial 16S ribosomal RNA". It matches the Rfam family "Bacterial small subunit ribosomal RNA", at positions 30 to 232 of the family's 1533-position model. The record is from RNAcentral.